This 479-nucleotide ribosomal RNA is filed under the name uncultured anaerobic ammonium-oxidizing bacterium. Its description in RNAcentral is "bacterial SSU rRNA". It matches the Rfam family "Bacterial small subunit ribosomal RNA", at positions 364 to 833 of the family's 1533-position model. The record is from RNAcentral.
UUUCGCAAUGCCCGAAAGGGUGACGAAGCAACGCCGCGUGGGUGAGGAAGGCCCUCGGGUUGUAAAGCCCUGUCAGGAGUUAAGAAAUGUAAGUGCGCUAAUAUCGCAUUUAUUUGACGAAGGCUCCAAAGGAAGUCACGGCUAACUCUGUGCCAGCAGCCGCGGUAAUACAGAGGUGGCAAGCGUUGUUCGGAAUUAUUGGGCGUAAAGAGCACGUAGGUGGGUUUGCAAGUCAGAUGUGAAAGCCUCCUGUUCAACGGGAGAAUUGCAUCUGAAACUGCAGAUCUUGAGUGUAGGAGGGGAGAAUGGAACUUCUGGUGGAGCGGUGAAAUGCGUAGAUAUCAGAAGGAACGCCGGCGGCGAAAGCGAUUCUCUGGCCUAUUACUGACACUCAGUGUGCGAAAGCUAGGGGAGCAAACGGGAUUAGAUACCCCGGUAGUCCUAGCCGUAAACGAUGGGCACUAAGUAGAGGGGUUUUA